GCAAGAAUUGUCAUGCUUCAUGACACAAGAUGAUGUCCUGAAAGGAGGGAAAAGGAAACAUCCUCACAGCAGUGUGCUGGUGACAGACUGCUUCCUUCUGCUAUUUGUACUGCCUGUGGAUAAUGUGUUCACUGUGAAGGCUGACACGAUUUGCAUACUGUUAAGAAGAAAACUCCACUCAAAACAGAAGGCAGUGCCAGAGCAGAGACUUGGGCUGGUCCUGUCCAAUCCCACAUUCCUGUUGGAACUGAGCUCCAUGGCCAGGGGAACUGGGAAGAGGCAGAACCUCACAACAGGAGCUGUGCAGUGAAGAUGAUCUCACCACAACCAUAUCAAGGUGAUGACUACUGCCAACUCUGACUUUCCUUUUGCUCUUUAUGACCCCUUCUCACUGUCAGUAAGUCUUUCGUACUGAACCACAUUUCUAUUAGCAAUCUUUUGGGUGUAGUAAGCCAUAGUCCUGCCAGACCCCUAUAAAAUGCCCUACACCCCUUCUUGCAGGCCCAAUAUUGUCCUUCAAGUCUGCCAGUAAUCUCAGGGUGGCCUCUGAGGAUGAACUCAGUUGUAUGCUCUGUGCACUUCUGAUUGCUUUUUUUUUUUUUUUUUUUUUUUUUUCCCGAUUUUAUUUUUUUUUUUUUUUCUUAAACUCCCUUUCCAAGGCAUUUUUUUUUCUUGCUUAAACGGUGCCACCACCUCUGGGCACUUGCAGUGUUUAACUAAAAAUACUGUAAGGAGCUGAACACAAGUAGGAUGGGGUUUGGGAUUAUUUGAAUGAAGGAAAAAAUUGAAGGAAAAAUUUGUCUCUGUAUUAAAACAAAACCACAACCAAAAAUCAGACUUGGUAUACAUAGCAUUAAAAUCACUAUCAAAAGACACAAAAGCAUAUGUAUAUAUAUAUAUAAUUUUCAACUCUCCGACUUUCACACCAUUAGGAAGUACGGAUGCCCAGCCAACUGCACCAGGAGCUUCCUCCCAGUGACAGGGAAAGCAUCCAGUGCCCUCCUGAGAACACAAGAGAGUCAUAUGCAAGUGUCUUUGUAGCUGAACAGGUAUAUGGUCCUGCUCCAAGCUGUGUUGGUCAUGUUCACAGCCUCUUGACAGAGAGCUGCGAACAUGUCAUUUGGCUCACCCUAUAUUCCUUUUUUUCCCCUGGGAUGUCUUCCCCUUUACUACUAUCAUCCCCUCCCAGAUAAACAGCUCAUUUCUGUGUGCCAUUUCCUCAUCGGCCCUGGUUUUGCUGCUUUUAUACCGUUAUUUGAUAUUUAUGCUAUGGUUGCCCUGGCAAUUUCUAAUUUUGACAGCAAUUUUGUCAAGCUACUGCCCUUUUUUGCUAUCUAUAGUGUCCUGCCGUUUCUCAUUUUGCUGUCUUGUUAGUGGCACCACAGGUCAGCAUGGGCCAUCUGCAUAUACAUUACUCCUCUUUGUGAUCUGUAGCAUCCUGCCGUUCUUCAUGUUGUUAUCUUGUCGGAGGCACUGCAAGACAGAGUGAACCAUCUGUAGAUACACCUUAACACAUACCUGCCUGUACCAUCUGCCACUAAAUUAAUAGGCAGAGUUAAAUGGAAAAGAAAAAAAAAAAAAGCACAACAGGCAAAAAAAUAGAAAAGCCUUUUAUAAACCAAGUAAAACAAAAUAAAAUCAUGACCACUUUUGAAUCUUAUAAGUGA
RNAcentral lists this long non-coding RNA (1667 nucleotides) under Anas platyrhynchos platyrhynchos (common mallard). Its description in RNAcentral is "lncRNA (ENSAPLG00000020402.1)". Lineage: Eukaryota; Metazoa; Chordata; Aves; Anseriformes; Anatidae. The record is from RNAcentral.